This 253-nucleotide ribosomal RNA is filed under the name uncultured bacterium. Its description in RNAcentral is "partial 16S ribosomal RNA". It matches the Rfam family "Bacterial small subunit ribosomal RNA", at positions 524 to 776 of the family's 1533-position model. The record is from RNAcentral.
UACGUAGGGGGCAAGCGUUGUCCGGAAUCAUUGGGCGUAAAGAGCGUGUAGGCGGCCAGAUAAGUCCGCUGUGAAAACUCGAGGCUCAACUUCGAGCUGUCGGUGGAAACUAUUUGGCUAGAGUCCGGAAGAGGAGAGUGGAAUUCCUGGUGUAGCGGUGAAAUGCGCAGAUAUCAGGAGGAACACCGGUGGCGAAGGCGGGUCUCUGGGCCGUAACUGACGCUGAGGAGCGAAAGCGUGGGGAGCGAACAGG